This 601-nucleotide ribosomal RNA is filed under the name uncultured bacterium. Its description in RNAcentral is "bacterial SSU rRNA". It matches the Rfam family "Bacterial small subunit ribosomal RNA", at positions 155 to 751 of the family's 1533-position model. The record is from RNAcentral.
AAGUUACGCUAAUACCGCAUACGAUCUAAGGAUGAAAGCAGGGGACCGCAAGGCCUUGUGCUCCUGGAGCGGCCGAUAUCUGAUUAGCUAGUUGGUAGGGUAAAAGCCUACCAAGGCAUCGAUCAGUAGCUGGUCUGAGAGGACGACCAGCCACACUGGAACUGAGACACGGUCCAGACUCCUACGGGAGGCAGCAGCGGGGAAUUUUGGACAAUGGGCGCAAGCCUGAUCCAGCAAUGCCGCGUGAGUGAAGAAGGCCUUCGGGUUGUAAAGCUCUUUUGUCAGGGAAGAAACGGUGAAGGCUAAUAUCCUUUGCUAAUGACGGUACCUGAAGAAUAAGCACCGGCUAACUACGUGCCAGCAGCCGCGGUAAUACGUAGGGUGCAAGCGUUAAUCGGAAUUACUGGGCGUAAAGCGUGCGCAGGCGGUUUUGUAAGUUUGUCGUGAAAUCCCCGGGCUCAACCUGGGAAUGGCGAUGAAGACUGCAAGGCUAGAAUCUGGCAGAGGGGGGUAGAAUUCCACGUGUAGCAGUGAAAUGCGUAGAGAUGUGGAGGAACACCGAUGGCGAAGGCAGCCCCCUGGGUCAAGAUUGACGCUCAUG